CGUUUUCAAUUUUUCCAUCGAAAGAUCGUUCAACCGGAAAAUCAAGACACGUUGUUCGUUUCUCUCAAGUGAAGAAAAAAUCGAUCCAGACUGAUAGGAUUGCGUCACAUCGUCGAUCGAUCGUAUGAAAAUUCCUGGAGGCGUUUUCACAUGCGAAAACCGCAUUUUAGCGAAAUACACGAAUACCCUGGCGUCGAACGUCGGGCGUGUGCCACUUUUGUGACGUCGAGAGCGCCAUUUAGCGUCAUUAAUAGAGUUGCAUCAGCGUCGAGUGCACGUCGUGAUACAUCGAUAGGAGUGGUUCGGCAAAUAGAUCGGGGCUGAAGAUACGUAUAUGUACGCAAGGGAGAGAGAAAGGAGCACACCCAUCUAAGCUUCGACAUUUCUGAACACAACCGUGACUACAGAAUGAUCCAUGCGAGAAUCGUGGCGCCCAAAAAUCGUUUGUCGAUCCACCAAUUACCAUCACACGAAUCUAUCUCCACGGAGGGAAAACGACGAGAGUAAGAAAAUGAAGGAACGAUCGGCGUAUAAAUCGUUCUUCUAGUUACGACAGUGAAAAAGGAGAGAGAAAGAGAGAGAGAGAGAAAGAGAGAAAAAAAGAAAAAAAAAGAAAAAGGAACGGAACGUUAAGUAAAAACGAAAGUGCGCGGUGAAAGCAAACUCGUAGGAUCAUGUAAAGUACUUACACGACCGAUAAUUACCGCGUCGAGUUUUAAAACGUUGAUAGAGGAAAAAAUUAAAUAUCAGAAUAUGGUAAAAAUUAAAGGUCGUGUAGUAAUAUUCCCGUGUAAUUUAGACUAGUACGCGAUUCUUUGUUUAUUAACAGCUCGUGUACGUGCCUUAUUGUAUUAUUACGGCUUAUUGUAUAAUACGCCUAGACACUUAAGAAACAAUUGUCUCUAAGGCAACUGAAUGGUCGGUCGAUCGUGUUUGUUGUAGCUGUUAUUAUCGCAAUAUAAUUAAUUUUGAUGUAUAAUGAACAAAUGAUGGAAAAUAAGUGUAAAUGAUAGAAAAUAUGAUAAUUGUUUAAGUAGGAAGUUUUUAAAAAGUGAAAGAAGUCUUCUUUGAUGAGAAAAUUAAGAAGAUAAAAUUCUGUUGCAGCAAUUCGAUAAAAGAAAUGUUAUUAAUCGAAUAUGUAUUAUACGAUGUGUAAUAUAAUAGAAUAGAAAAAAAAAAAUAAUAGAGGAAUAUUUGUAAUUUAAAUUAUAUACGAAUACGUUAAACGUACUUCAUAAUAAGUAUAUCGAUAUAAAAGUUGAUCGAUGGGAAACGUCGAAAUAUUUCUAUUUCGCAGUUAUUUCAUUCCAAAACAUUGAAAUUUAAAUACGUGACCGAUAAAGGAUCGAUCCUUGAAUUUCGAUCAGCAAACGCCAAUUUCUACAUAAAGUUUUCUUACUUUUCAACUUCGUUCAACUAUUUGUCUUCAUUUAUAUUGUACUGCUCAUUGAUCUUGGCAGAAUAAGGUCUCCUUUAGUAUAAAUUCCACCAACUCGAUAGUACAAAAGGCGCUUUAAAUGGAACAUUGAUUAAUCUUAUUAGGCAAGUAUAAGCAGAUCUGAGGAAAUCUAUGUGAAGUAAACUUGUGUGAAAGGGGGAAAGAGAUUUAAUUGCAAACAAAAAAAAAAUAUCUCAACAUUCUUGGUUUCAAUUUAACAAAUACCUAUGUCGAGCCAUAAUUUCUUUAUCAUCGGCGUGCACAAUUAAGGAAAGUAUUUCAAUCACAAUGAAUCUAUCGGAAGAUCAUUGAAGCUCGUUUCGAGAAAUUACUGCCCACGAUUAUUUCACGUGGAACAACCGAUAAAAUUUAAUGCGACGCUGGGUCUCUUCCACGAUCCUUUGAACACGGCUGCGUAACCUGUUCUGAAAUCAUUAGAUUCAAUCUAGACACAUGGUGAUUCCACCGGUAAAACGGAAGAUAUCGAUUCUCGAUGGAAGCUUAAGCAUCCUGCUUACCAUAGUUUCAACGCAUUCCUCCACAUGGUUCCGUAAUUAUAAGGUAAAAUCAAUUAAUGAUGAAAUUGUUCAUCGUUUAUGAUGAAUUGUUAUCUAUUCCCCAUAUACGUAAUCCGAAUAAAUUUUCGAAAAAAGAAUCGUAAAAGAUUUCGAGUUUCUUAUCGAAAAUCAUAUCCGCAGAACUUAGAGAAACGGGGACAUAAAAUAUUAUAUCCGUAAUUACAACGUGUCUCAAUUUUAAUCUCCAAUAUCCAAUAUCCACCUUCUAAUCUCUCUAUUACUAAUUUUUGUAUCUGGUUCAGCUUUUACCACGAAUUCGUAUUCUAACUGACAGAUAUACUUUUUUCACUGUACAGACAUCAUCGAUCGACCGUGUCCGUUUUCCAUAAUUGUUUUAAUUUAUCGCCAGAUUUGACGUUAUCGAAGCGUGGCUUAUGGAACGAGUCACCAGUAACCAGAGGAAUUAAAUGAUCAUAAUCCUCGUUCGAGGGAAAAUCAAUUCACCGUACGCUUGAUCUAGUCCCUGGUUAGAGUUCGUAUCAAACGAAUAUACGACUUCCUCUUCGAGAAAAGUCGCCUCGAACUCGCCUCUCUACGUAGAAGAACACAUAGAGAAUCUGUAUCUGUUUCGUACGAUGCACAAGAGUGAUUAUUCCCCUACGGCAUCAAGUUUUGCAAGAAUUUGUAAUCUCGUACAUUGUAUCUCGAGAAGCGAUAUAUAGUUCGGGGUUUAUUGCAUUCGGUAAACAGACGGAAUAUGAAUGUAUCUUGAUCUUUCUCUCUCUCUCUAUCUCUCUUUUUACCGGACGUCGAAUUUGCAAAUUAUAAAGGUCGAUAAGGCACCGCGGGGAAAUACAACGUGCUCUGAUUGUAUUCAAAAUCGCAUUGUGCUUCGCGAAGAUUAAUGUUAUCGAUAUAGUUUAUGGAUAUCUGUUAUAUAUACGGUUAUAUACGUGUAUAGAUAGGAAUUUCUUACAUUGGCUCCGGAAAGGUACAGCAGAUACAUCUUCUUACCUUGGGAGGGAGAUGCAUGUUUGUGUGCUAAAUAGGGCUACGUUUAUCUGUUAGAGCACGGAGUGGAAUGGAAUUUGCUUCGACGUUUCUAACCCUUUGCGUAUUAAAAUACGAGCCAUUGUGGAAAAUGUAUAUAUUAUUAUUCCUUUUGUAUAGAUUAAAUGUUACAUCAUUCAUAUAUCAUUCAUCUAUCUUUCAUCGAUUGAAACGGUCAUAAAUCUAAUACGAUAACAGCUUUUAUUGGGCAUAAAAUUUUUGGAGAUUGGAUUUAUGUUUAUUUAAAAAUUGGAUGGAUACGUUACAAGUGGAUAUAUGAGUGUAUUAUACAAAUUAUUGUGUAACCACUUGACUAUUUGUCAUCGAUACUACAAGAAGUCUUAUAUAAUCCAAGACUUUGUAGCUUUUUGUUUUAUGAACGAAGAAUGGUUAAUUACACGACGAUAAUUUCGAUCGCAUUAUAAAUAUAUCUACGCAUUGUCAUCGAUAACUUUUAUGUGAUAAUAAGUUUGCGGUACGCCAAUGUGGCAAUACAUUGAAUAACAUCCUUGAACAUUUGAUCAUUUUACUUUGAACGAGCCGCGUGUUUAUUCGCUUGCCUGUACUACUUGGAUAUUUCCAUAGUUGCAUUAGUCAUCGAACCGUAGAUAAUUUGAAUUUAUAAGAUCACGAGAAAUUCUAUUCUCUGAACCUCUGAAUAGAUUCCUAUCGGGCACUGCGGGAAAUCAGGAUUAAUACAAUGUUCCCUUACGUCCUUUUUUUACCAUUCGAUCUUACGUACUGUUUAGAAUGAUUGUAUUAUGGAGGAAUAAUAAAUGGCGUGACUUUCGAGGUUAUAUUUUUGUAUUUCUCUGAAACGUCACGUUAAAUAUUUUAUUUCCUUUCGUGGAAUAUUAAUCUCUUCGCUUUAUCGUGAAAGAAUUCAUAAAAUUGUAAUUUAUUAUGAUAUAUCGAGCAAUGGUCCUCUAGGAAUAAAUUGUGUGUCAAUCAAAAAUUUUCAAUAUUCGAAUCCGAAUCACAGCAUUCCUUUACUAUCGAUCGUCGAUUAGAAAUUUAUUUCCAGUGUGUCAAAAUGAAUUAAGUAAUGUCGAAAGAGGUAUGUCGCGCCAAUGAAACUUUUAUUAGUGUAAUUUAUUUUCUUGGCUCCACGACACCGAAUAUAAAAGUAUAGUAAUGCUUUUUCGAAUGACCACCCACGGUGUGAACGUUAAAUAUUCUCACUGAUUAAAAAAACAAGUUAGAAACAGCGAUUUAAUCGAGUUAACAUAUG
RNAcentral lists this long non-coding RNA (4237 nucleotides) under Apis mellifera (honey bee). Its description in RNAcentral is "uncharacterized LOC724374, transcript variant X1". Lineage: Eukaryota; Metazoa; Arthropoda; Insecta; Hymenoptera; Apidae. The record is from RNAcentral.